UACGUAGGGGGCAAGCGUUGUCCGGAUUUAUUGGGUUUAAAGGGUGCGUAGGCGGUCUUUUAAGUCAGUGCUGAAAUACUCCAGCUUAACUGGAGGGGUGGCAUUGAUACUGGGAGACUUGAGUAUAGUUGAGGUAGGCGGAAUUGACGGUGUAGCGGUGAAAUGCUUAGAUAUCGUCAAGAACACCGAUAGGGAAGACAGCUUACUAAACUAUAACUGACGCUGAGGCACGAAAGUGUGGGGAUCAAACAGG
RNAcentral lists this ribosomal RNA (253 nucleotides) under uncultured bacterium. RNAcentral's name for it is "partial 16S ribosomal RNA". It matches the Rfam family "Bacterial small subunit ribosomal RNA", at positions 524 to 776 of the family's 1533-position model. The record is from RNAcentral.